RNAcentral lists this ribosomal RNA (468 nucleotides) under uncultured bacterium. RNAcentral's name for it is "partial 16S ribosomal RNA". It matches the Rfam family "Bacterial small subunit ribosomal RNA", at positions 28 to 507 of the family's 1533-position model. The record is from RNAcentral.
GACGAACGCUGGCGGCGUGCUUAACACAUGCAAGUCGAACGGAAAGGCCCUGCCUUUGUGGGGUGCUCGAGUGGCGAACGGGUGAGUAACACGUGAGUAACCUGCCCUUGACUUUGGGAUAACUUCAGGAAACUGGGGCUAAUACCGGAUAGGAGCUCCUGCUGCAUGGCGUGGGUUGGAAAGUUUCGGUGGUUGGGGUAGGACUCGCGGCUUAUCAGUUUGUUGGUGGGGUAGUGGCUUACCAAGGCUUGGACGGGUAGCCGGCCUGAGAGGGUGACCGGCCACAGUGGGACUGAGAUACGGCCCAGACGGCUACGGGAGGCAGCAGUGGAGAAUAUUGCACAAUGGGCGGAAGCCGGAUGCAGCAACGCCGCGUGCGGGAGGACGGCUUUCGGGGUGUAAACAGCUUUCGCCUGGGACGAAGAGUGAGUGACGGUAAUGGGUAAAGAAGCACCGGCUAACUACGUG